UACGUAGGGUGCAAGCGUUGUCCGGAAUUAUUGGGCGUAAAGAGCUCGUAGGUGGUUCGGUAAGUCGGAUGUGAAAUCUCCAGGCUCAACCUGGAGGGGUCAUUCGAUACUGCCGUGACUAGAGGUCGGUAGGGGAGUGUGGAAUUCCUGGUGGAGCGGUGAAAUGCGCAGAUAUCAGGAGGAACCCCCGUAGCGAAGGCGGCACUCUGGGCCGAUACUGACACUGAGGAGCGAAAGCGUGGGGAGCGAACAGG
RNAcentral lists this ribosomal RNA (254 nucleotides) under uncultured bacterium. RNAcentral describes it as "partial 16S ribosomal RNA". It matches the Rfam family "Bacterial small subunit ribosomal RNA", at positions 524 to 776 of the family's 1533-position model. The record is from RNAcentral.